UUUCUGUAGGUGAACCUGCGGAAGGAUCAUUAUUGAAUUUUAAUGAGGAGCUGGUUGUUGCUGGCUUUGGGAUUUUUUUAAUAAAUUGUUACAGGCCCUUGUGCACACCUUCUCUUUCAUCCACACACACCUGUGCACUUGUGAGACAGACUGUGGGGACUUUAUUGAACCCCGUCUGUCUACUUUAUUUACACACACUCUAUUUAAUUUAAACUGAAUGUAAUUGAUGUAACGCAUCUAAUACUAAGUUUCAACAACGGAUCUCUUGGCUCUCGCAUCGAUGAAGAACGCAGC
Molecule: unclassified non-coding RNA, 294 nt
Filed under: uncultured fungus
Lineage: Eukaryota; Fungi
Description: sequence contains ITS1, 5.8S rRNA gene
Rfam family: 5.8S ribosomal RNA (bases 246-294)
Source: RNAcentral